CGCCUACACUUCUCAUCCAUGCAAGAACCCGAUCUCUCUCUUCCUUUCCUCUCUCUUUUUCUACGUUUUCUUUACCUAAACAAAGCUCUCACCAACUUCGAAAUCCUUCCUUGUAGGGCUUGGUGUGACAUACUAUAGUAGUCUCAGUGUGUGGGAUUCAGGUUAAUCAAGAAGAAGAGCCAAGUUUAUCUAGCUAACCAUGCCUAGAAGAUAUGCACUUGGGAGGGCAGAAGAGGCCACCAACCCUGACUCCAUGAGAGCUGCAUUAGCUGAAUUCGUCUCCACUCUUAUCUUCGUCUUCGCUGGUGAAGGCUCCGUCCUUGCUCUUGAUAAAUUGUAUAGGGAAACUGAACCUCCGGCUUCAGGACUGGUGAUGAUUGCGCUUGCACAUGCAUUGGCACUGUUUUCUGCUGUUUCAGCCAGCAUCAACAUAUCAGGUGGUCAUGUGAAUCCUGCUGUUACCUUUGGAGCUCUCGUUGGAGGAAGGAUCUCAGUCCUACGCGCUUUCUAUUACUGGGUUGCUCAGCUUCUUGGCGCUAUUGUCGCUUCUCUCUUGUUGAGGCUCGUCACUAAUGGCAUGAGACCAGUGGGAUUCUAUAUAGCAUCAGGGGUUGGAGAGGUGCAUGGCCUUAUAAUGGAAAUGGUAAUGACAUUUGGACUGGUUUACACCGUGUAUGCUACAGCCGUUGAUCCCAAAAGGGGAAGCUUGG
This 710-nucleotide unclassified non-coding RNA is filed under the name Hevea brasiliensis (rubber tree). Lineage: Eukaryota; Viridiplantae; Streptophyta; Magnoliopsida; Malpighiales; Euphorbiaceae. The record is from RNAcentral.